Molecule: long non-coding RNA, 690 nt
Filed under: Salvia miltiorrhiza (redroot sage)
Lineage: Eukaryota; Viridiplantae; Streptophyta; Magnoliopsida; Lamiales; Lamiaceae
Description: long non-coding RNA (SMIL_LNC001466)
Source: RNAcentral
UGAAUUCGUUCUCUCCCUCUUCACUCUCAAAAUGAAACCCGCUCUCUCUCGGCUCACACAGAUCCGCCCGGCUCCCUCUCUUCUCCGGCGAAGCAGCGAACCAGCCGCCGCCCGUCCUCUCCUGCCCGAUUCACCACAUCAUCUUCCUCUCUCCUUUACCUCGGUCACCGCCGCCCAUGCGGCGCCGGCCGCCGCAGCAUCGCCCAGCAUCGGGCCUCCGACAACCUUCCCCUCUCUUCCUCACUCAUUCCCAAAUCCAAAGGCAGCAAAAUGAAAUUCUCAGAUUUUUAAAGAUUUGAUUUUUGGUGCAUUUGUCAAGGUAUUUCCUUAAUAGAAAUAGUUGGGUAUUUGGAUUUCGUGUGUUAAUCUCUUGUGAUAAUCGAGCUGGAAUUUUGACUGAGAAAUAGAAAGAGUUACUAUGUUGAUUGCUUCAUACUGCUGCUUGAGGAAGUGAUUCUGGCGGUGGAAGAGUGUAAGAAAAGUUGGGGUAGUUUAUGAAGCUGGAACGAUUGACGUGGUUGAAACAAAGCCAAAAUUUUUGGGAAUAGAAUAUCAAAUUGUGAAAAUAUCUUGCACAGUUAGACUUGGAGAGAAAGGAAAAUAUUUCAGUUUCUCACAAUCACACACACGCAUGUUUCGAUUUCUCACACUGAUCUCCAAAUUUUGGGCCAGUAUUGAUCUCACAAAUAA